Molecule: ribosomal RNA, 232 nt
Filed under: uncultured bacterium
Lineage: Bacteria
Description: partial 16S ribosomal RNA
Rfam family: Bacterial small subunit ribosomal RNA
Source: RNAcentral
CGGACGGGUGAGUAAUGUCUGGGAAACUGCCCGAUGGAGGGGGAUAACUACUGGAAACGGUAGCUAAUACCGCAUAACGUCGCAAGACCGAAGAGGGGGACCUUAGGGCCUCUUGCCAUCGGAUGUGCCCAGAUGGGAUUAGCUAGUAGGUGGGGUAACGGCUCACCUAGGCGACGAUCCCUAGCUGGUCUGAGAGGAUGACCAGCCACACUGGAACUGAGACACGGUCCAG